Long non-coding RNA from Gasterosteus aculeatus aculeatus (three-spined stickleback), 1399 nucleotides. Lineage: Eukaryota; Metazoa; Chordata; Actinopteri; Perciformes; Gasterosteidae. The record is from Ensembl.
CUUUUUAGAGGACUGCAGGGACAGAAAGGGAUUAUUCAGAAACCUCAUGGUGUUAUUGGUUUGAAUUUUCCAGUGCAUCCACUGAUAUGUGAUGCAACAACUCCAAGAAGCAUCCAGUCUUCCAAGCAGCGAGGCAAAGUAUUGGAGUUUCAAGGCACAAACGUGGAGGAAAAUGUGAUUUUUUUAGCGUGAAAUGUUCAGCGUUGGGAUCCGAAAAUGAGACGACAGGCCUGUCAGCUCCGGGACGCGGCUGUGACUCAUCUGUCUGUCACAUUGACGACGCCAGACAAAAAGACAGCCAGCGAGUCCGUCUCCAUCUCCGGGGAGUGAAUCACCGUUCUGAUGCCGGCCGCCUCGUCCCAAACCAGCCAAUCUGUGCCGUCCGCGCCGCGUCGCCUGACAGGUGGCACUUGGCUGAUUGCAGAUAAGAUAUUGCAGAUAUUUCCAUGAGUUUUAUCGAUGUGCGGCUGAUUGGCAGCGAACAAGACAGAAGUCAUCGAAACUAGAGAUUAAGAACAUAACCUCACGUUUACAAUGUCCACACAGACUUCAAUAGGACCAGAGGUGUCGCCCCCCUGGUGGCCAUUAGAGAGAAUGCAGCUUUGAGCCGCUCUUUUUCCAGCCGGAGGGUGGAGUCAAACGACGAUGAAUGCGUUGUGAUACCGCGCGAGUUCCAAGUCAUACACAAACCAAACACACACAAACCACACACACCGAAAGGCGAUUCAUGUUUCCAUUGGCUCGCAGGGUGGCCGACGCAGUGGACAGAUUUUAAAUGGCAGCCCGUUUGAAUUCUAGCCCAUCUUAAAUUUAGUACGUGCGCAGACCUACAAGCAUGUUGAUAUUGGUGAAAAUGGUGCACCUAAAAUUAUGCAAACUCUAUUUUUCCGUCGCCACAGCACAAGGUUCAUGCUCUUUAAAGGAACGGCGAGCGCGCGUCUUGACAUUGGCCGCAGCGCGGCGGCGGUUGAGGUCGAAGGGUUACGCAUAAUCCAUCUCCUCUUGUCUCACGAGUGCGGUUUCAAACGUCAUUUCUGGAAAAAAAAAAAAACGCAUAUCCCAUGAUCCUUUGCCAAAACAUCGCGGUGACGAGCGGCAGCUGUCAGGGGGGGGGGGGGGCGCAGCCCGCCCCUUUGAAGCUGUGUUGUGAAAACACCGAGCGUGUGGAUCUGUGUCAAGGCUGCAUGACUGGACUCGCUGUGCUUUGUGUGUGUGUGUGUGUGUGUGUGUGUGUGUGUGUGUGUGUGUGUGUGUGUGUGUGUGUGUGUGUGUGUCUGUGCGUGCGUGAUGGCCUUCGGCGAACACAGUGAGGUUUUCCAGCCCACGCUGAGGCGACUCUGGUUGGGCCGGCGAGGCUCAGUGUGACCUGCCAAAACACACAGCAGCAACACGCCGACGG